ACAAGUGAAAUGUUUAAUUACCAAGUCCAAACCAGUAAAACCCAAAGUUGAUUGGAUAUUAGUUACCAAAAAUGAUCUUUUCCAUCACAAAUAUUAUCCCAACACACAUACACACAUAAGCACUGGCAAACCAUUCACCACCAUCAUCCUCAAAAGUUAAGUUCUUGGUAUGCUGGUGGGAUUUGAAUUUAAAUAAAUAAAAAGACACACUAAUGCAAUUCUUCUGUAAUCCAAUUGUUCAUUUGUUAAAAAUAGCAUCUGUUUCCUAUUUCAAAAAUUAAGUUCAAUCAUGAAAAAAAUUUGUCGUCAAUGGUAAAACUUAUUUGGCAGACUAUCUUAGAAAAACAGUACUCUGAAAGCUUGUUCUUAAAAUACCCUGUUUAGGAACAGGAGAAUAUUUUUUUUGCAGUUUUCUCAGAAUCGGACUUCAGGGCAGCAGAUGAGGAACAAAUUCUCAAUAGAAAACAUGCCAAAACAAGAAAAUAUUCCAUGCAACUUUUCAUGAGCUCUCUCCAACUACUACAAGUGACUAAUGCACUUCAAGGAAGGAGACAAAGCACAAACAAAAAUUUCAUCAUAACAGCCUUUAAGCCAUUAUCAAAAUUAGUAUAUGUUAAAGAAUCACAAUACCAGGAUGCUGAAUGCAAAAAAUUGCACAAUAAACCUCAACAUGUGAGAAUAGUUUACUGUUGUUUCAUAUCAAAUAAAAAAGGAAACUGAAAGCAAAAUAAAGCAGGCAUGUGGUAAAAUAAGUUCUUGCCUCUUUCAAUUCUGAGCCUGGA
This 782-nucleotide unclassified non-coding RNA is filed under the name Hevea brasiliensis (rubber tree). The record is from RNAcentral. Lineage: Eukaryota; Viridiplantae; Streptophyta; Magnoliopsida; Malpighiales; Euphorbiaceae.